This is a non-coding RNA of Pelobates cultripes (western spadefoot toad), 218 nucleotides long. The record is from the annotation of a GenBank genome assembly. Lineage: Eukaryota; Metazoa; Chordata; Amphibia; Anura; Pelobatidae.
CUUGUCACCAGUGGGGUACCUCAGGUAUCUGUACUUGGACCCAUUCUCUUUAAUAUUUUUAUUAGUGAUAUUGCAGAAGGUCUUGAUGGUAAGGUAUGUCUUUUGCUGAUGAUACUAAGAUAUGUAACAGGGUUGAUGUUCCAGGAGGGAUAAGCCAAAUGACAAAUGAUUUAGGUAAACUAGAAAAAUGGUCAGAAUUGUGGCAACUGACAUUUAAU